Podarcis lilfordi (Lilford's wall lizard) is the source of this 26258-nucleotide non-coding RNA. Lineage: Eukaryota; Metazoa; Chordata; Lepidosauria; Squamata; Lacertidae. The record is from the annotation of a GenBank genome assembly.
CUGCUUGUGCCACUCACCCACCCAGAGAGCCCAGCGCUCUGGCCACCAGCAGAGUCACACCACAGCACCGCAUGGGAAGGAAGUUUGGUGCGCGAUCACCAGAGUGAACGUCUUUUGGUCCAGCCCUUGCGCCAGAGGACCAAACCAAUCCAAAUCUUUAUUACAGUCAUAGACCAGCAUAAGGUAAAAGCACCUCCAAUCAUAAAUAAAACAUACUAGACAGGCAGUAAGGUAACUGCAGAGGUAGAGGGUAUACCUACUCGUAUUCUCAGAUGCAGUAGACCAACAUUAUUUAUUUAUUUAAUUUUAUUUAUACCCCGCCUUCCCCGCCCAAGACCGGGCUCAGGGCAUCUAUUAAAAAAAUUGAUUAAAAAAACAACUUAAAAAUUAAAAUACUACUUAAAAUGCAGCCUCAUUUCAGUGGAAGCCCAGAUCAAAAACUGUUUGGGGGGAGAAAACAGCAAAUCUUCACCAAGACCAACUAUCCAGACUGGUCCUACGUGGGCCAGAAAAGCCAGGGAAGUCCCCAAAUAGGGGCUCCAUCACAGACGGAGAAAGGAAAAAGGAAAGAGGGGGAGGGAAUCAAAUUGGCUCCAAGCCAAAGGCCAGGUGGAACAACUCUGUCUUACAGUCCCUGCAGAAAGAAAUCAGAUCCCGCAGGGCCCUGGUCUCAUGAGGCAGAACGUUCCACCAGGCCGGGGCCAGAGUUGAAAAGUGUUGAAAACAUAAGAUAAAAACAUGUAAAACAGGUAAAUCAAUCCUUCGAUUUUAGACCUGCUGUGUGGCACAUACCAUCCUCUGGCGUAUGCCAAUCAUGGCAGCACAAUAUUUGGCAAUUGAAUAUGUUAUAACAGAAUUGGAGCAGUAAGGAGAUAUAGAACUGCCCUGCGUGUCCUGGAAAUUUGUGUGCUAUUGGCAGAAUAAACCUAGCACAUACGUUUGUGUAAUACUGGCAAUGGAAGAGAAUGUGUUCGAUUGUUUCCAUGUGUCUAGAACUGCAGGGGCAUUUUCUCUCCUCAUAAGGUGUAUUUCUGAAAUGACCUUCCUGGAUGGCUGAGGGGAGAGUCUGGCAAUGAGCCAGAGUCAAAGCUCUUCUCUGUUUUGGUAUUUCAAGAUAAGGUUUUUUUGGGGGGGGGUGAGGUAGUAAAGGCAGGGGCGUAGGAAUGGGGUGUGGCGGUGUGGUCCGCCCCAGGUGUCAUCCUUGAGGGGGGUGACAAAAUGGCACAACAUGAGGGGCGGCACGUACCAUGGGGCCUGGCCUGCAACAUGCCCGAGCCAUGCGUCUCUCUUGGCAGCGUGGGGCUUGCAUCCGCCUGGCGGACUCCAUGGGCAGGUUCGCCGCCCCGCCCCCCCCCCAGCAGAUCGCUGCCCUGCCCCUGUGCACGGAUCGCUGUGCCACCCCCGUGGGUGGCUCACCCCCGUCCCCAUAGCUCUGGGUGCUGGAGCUGCUAGCUACACCCCUGAGUAAAGGUACAGGACCCCUGGCUUCAAACAGUUUAAAGGUUAUGGGUAUAUAAUGUCUAGCUUUGGUUCUAAGAUAUUUAAGUAUGGCAGCGGCACUUCUCUGUACAUUCUCAGCAGCACAGUCCCCAUGGGCUUUUUUCCCUUCCAGAAGGACUACCCCCAGAUAUUUGAAGCAAGUAACCUGCUCAGUCUUAUGGCCACCAGUGUGCUAUAGGAGGGGUUUGGGCCUUUUGGCAAAUGCCAUGGUGUUAGUUUUCUGAUGGUUAAGUUCUAAUUUGCCCCCCUGCAAUAUACUGCUAAUGCUUUCAUAGCUCUUCUAAGGCCUAUGGGUAUUCUUGAAAGAGCACCAAGCCCCCCCAAAUGGGACAUUCUGAGGUCAAAACAAGAGCCUGGGUUUGCUACUGUGAUCUGGGAUUUCCUGGUAAAAAUGACAUGGUUGGGUCUGGAGUUGGCUCCUGUGCUGCCUUGGGUCUCAUUUUUAAGAUUAAAAAAUAAAUAAAUAUGGUACUCUGGCACCAGGGAACCUCUGGCCAGUUUAUUGAAUUUGCUCCAAAUAACCUUGAAGUCAAGUCAUUCUGGGGCAGUAGGUUUUAGGCAGAGGCUUCUCCCAGCCCAACCUGAGGUUGCCAAGGAUUGAACCUUGGACCCUUCUGCAUGCAAAGCCUGUGCCUCAACCACAGCUGGAGAUGUGGGUCAUAUUGCAUAGAUAUAUGAUUUUUUGUUUGGUGCGUGCUCUAAUUUGGAAGGAGGAGGAAGUUCAAUUAAAAAUGCACUUAAUUCGAGGUUAUCCUCCCAGAAUUUUGGCUUUGAGAGGGGAUGAUAAAAAAAGAAAGAAAAAGAUCGUUAAUCAUAACAAGUGAGUAGAGCUAAAAUUAAACACACACUGGCUUUGAUUCAUUAGGCAAUGCAUGGCAGAGCAACAGUGUAAACAAGCAGAGUUCAUGUAAAAGGAAUGCAAAGGUGUUGCCAAGGCUCAUCCGUCCAUCCUAAAAGGAGCUUACUGAUGAACAAUUUAUCAGUUAAGCAAGGAGCACAUAUGAGGAGUGCAACUUUAUCCCCCCUGCCUUUUAAUCCCUUGCUGUCUGUUAGCACAGUGGGCAACAGGCUCCCUCCUCAAGACACCAUCACUGGGGUUGUUUUUGUUCUAUCUGCGAUGUGCUGGCUGAAUACUUCAAAGGGUAACUCAGGCACUUACGCAUCUCACUUUUCAGAAGGUUGUGACAUCCAAUAGCCUCUUCAGCUGCUCACAGAUGAAAAGCACCAAUGAUGACACUUCUAAAGAGGGGGGAAAUACGCACCCCUCUUAGCAGCCUGAUCCUGUGUGCUGCUGCUCUUACUGCACAGAGCGUAAGUUCAAAUGUAGGGAUCUUGCCUGGCACCAGGUGACCUCUGCCAUUUUGCUUAGAGGCUGAGAAUGGUCUUAGCCCUCCCCCUUUCCUCAAAUCCAGCUCAUGUAAAGCUGAGAGUGGACUGGAGGUAACAUGACCCCUCCCUGGAGCCCAAGAGCUAUUGGGGGCUGCAGUCUCCAGCUGAGGAGUCAGACAAGAAGUCAGUCCAGGCUGAAGGCUCUGAACCUACUUCUGGGAUUUGGGAGACAGUGGUCUGAGUCUGGCAGAGUCUGAGCCUGAGAAUAGCCUCAAGAAGAACCUCCCAUACCACCAGGGCCUGUAUGGGACCCUCAGGGUUGUCUUCCCUUGAGCUUGAGGAAACAUAACCCUCUCAAAGGAAGUGCAUCAGGUGGGAAGCCAUGAAACAGAGGAACAGUGCCCAUCUUCAGAGCAGAUAGUUGGCCCUUUAAGAACUGAUGUUAUCGACAAGGGGACAGAGCGUGGGAGACAAAGUUGGGGAAGUAGGCUUUAAAAGAUCGGCUCUAAACCUUUGUUACAACAAGUUGUUCACUCAGGAAGUGAGGCUGUUAUCUGCAAAACACUGGCGAGCUCUAAUUUUUUUAUUAUGUUAAAGCACAGCAACAAAGUUGUUGUUUUUUAAGUUGAAAUCUUCAUUUAAGGUGUUUUUAAAAAUAACAAUCUUACAUUGCUUUGCCUUGACAACAACAACCAAACAAACCUAGAGCUCUUCUGAACUCCACACACAGAAGUCUAGGCAGCCUCAUGUAAGGUAAAGGGAAAGGGAAAGGGAAAGGGCCCUUGGAUUGUUAAGUCCAGUCAAACUUAACUAUGGGGUGUGACACUCAUUUCAGGCUGAGGGAGCCAGCAUUUAUCCACAGCUUUCCAGGUCAUGUGGCUAGCAGGAUUAAACCACUUCUGGUGCAAUGAGACAAUGUGAUGAGUGCCAGAGUGCAUGGAAGUGCCGUUUACCUUCCCACCGCAGUGAUACCUAUUUAUCUACUCACAUUGGUAUGCUUUCGAACUGCUAGGUUCACAGGAGCUGGGACAAAGCAACAGAGCAGUGGUUUAGAGCACAGCGCCUAUUGCAGGGAUGUCCAACAGGUCGAUUGUGAUCUACUGGUAGAUCCCCAUGAGGUUUUGGUAGAUCACAGUGUAUCUCUGGCUCCCUUUCAUUAGCGUCGCUAAAACUUACUCCUGCCCCGCCCCCUCGCCUUGCCCUCCAUUGUUGUAUGAUCUCUGGAAGGGAAGAUGGAGCUUUCUCUGUACUGCUGUUUUGAUCCAUAGUGAUCUUUUUGUGAGUGACUUCGCCCCUCUGCCCCCCCUAAAAAAAUGGGGCUUUUCUCUUUACUAAAAAAAGCUCAACAACUUUGAGCUGAAUUCUGAAUCACAGUCUCUUGAGAGCUGGCCACCCCUGGCCUAUUGGGUAGAAGAAACCAAAGAACAAAAAAGUUAGCGAACUCUCCAUGGCAUUCUCCGCUCUUCCUGCUUCUCCUUUCCAAAAAACCUCUUGCCAAGCAACUGCUCCCCUUCUGUCUGCUCGCCCCACUUCUCUGUUAUUCCAAGCCUAGUUUUAAAAGGUGGUAAUUUUCCUGUAACCUACAUCACUGCUCAAUGUAACCUUGGCAGUCUUUGUUGGCACAGACCCAAGGAUUUCCCUGUGAUGGGCCGUCAUCACCUUUUGCCCUGCUUCAUGGCUUCUACCCCUGGAAAGGGAGCGUAGCCUGUAUUUUUCCACUGGCCAAUCAUCUUUCCUUCAAUACUCCAAAUAUUAUCUAAAUUCUACCAUUUAUUAAUUUCUAACAUUCACUAACUCUAGAAGUUGUGGAUGCCCUUGCACCCCCAAACUCUGUUACCCAAGAUCUGCAACAAUAUACAUGCUCCUGCUAGAAGCAAAACACAACUCAAGGUUCAUGCAGACUUCUGCUUGUCCCGCUGCUUUCCCCUGAGGAAACAUGCUCUUUACCACUGAAUCAGAGAAGAUGUCAAUUGGAUUUCCCACAGAUUAAUAUUUACUCCAAAUCAGUGGGAAAAUGGCAGGGCAAAUGGAAAACCAUUUGGAGCCAUGCCUGGAAAGCACAGGAGAACUCUUGGACCCUAGGCAUGAAACAAAGUGUGGAUGAGCCUUGAAGCAGCUGGCCCAACAAGACGGAUGGCAAACCACAGGAAAAGUAUAUUGCCUAUUUUCAUUGAACCCUUAAAACUGAGCAAUUACAAUGUCAGUGUUGUUCAGAAUACUGCUUUCUACUGAUGUUUGUUACCAAAUCCUUUUUGAAAGCCUUUCAAAGGUAUUGCCACUUACCUAUUUGAAGAAUGCUAUUAGCGAUCUUAGAUAUAAUCUGUACAACGCUGACUCCAGAGUUCUGGCUGAGGAACAUAACCCUUCUUUGCAAAGGAAAGCCACAUUUCUAACUAUGAAUUUCCCCGAAAUGUUUUAAUCUGCAGAUUGGUCUGCAAAGUAGGCAAAACAAAUUCCCUCCAUCUUGUGUAAAGCUGUUGAGGCCACUAAAAUAUGUCUCCACCUGCAUUUAUUUAAAAUUAAAACAUUUAUCUGGCAGAUUUUCAAGACUCAGGGCAACAUCAGAAAAUAAACCUUAAAAAAAUGUAAAAGAACAGAAAGAUAACACAACGUCCUCCAGAGGGGGAAAAAAAACUUACUAGCCAGCAAGACAAACUGCUGGAUGGAGAUCAAGAGGUGGGGGUCUAUGCCUUGCAGCCCUUUCUAAAAUCCAGUAGGGGGAGGAUUACACACCUUUUAAAUAAGAUCAUUCCUGUGCUCCAGGACAGCUGAUGUAGAGGCAUGCUUCUAGCAAUAUUUCUUAUCUGGAUUGAGCUUCAGUCUGUUGGCUCUCAUCCAGUCCAUAACCGAGGCAAGACACUGGUCCAGCACAUCCACUGCAGAUGCAAAUGAGAAGCAGACCUGUGUGUCAUCAGCAUAUUGCUGAUAACGUACUCCAAACCUCUGGAUAACUCCGCUUGGCGGUUUCAUGUACUGUAGGUGUUAAACAGCACAAGGGCCAAAAAUGAACCCUGCAGAACCCUGACAUUGAAGGCUCCAUGGUUGAAAUUUUGGGAGGUUGGAUAGGUAUGGUCUCAGUGGUGGGGUGCACAUUUUUAUUCUUAUUUAUUUAUGAUCAUUACUUUGUCAAAAUAAUUUUUUUUUAAAGAAGGCUCCAUGGGGCCAAUGAGCACUUCCCAAACAUUACCCUCUUGAAACAACCAUUCACGUAGGACCAGAGCCACCGCAAAGUGGCUGACUCAGAGAGCCACUCCAGAAGAUUACCAUGUUUGAUGAUACUGAAAGCCACUGAGAGAUCAAGGAGAAAUAACAGGAACAUAUUUCCCACAAAAUAAUAAUAUUCCCUUUCCUCCUAAAAUAAAUAUUUUUCUAUUUAUUCUUUCAGCCAAGAGAACAAAGCAAAACACAGAGAAUUACACAACCUGAACAACUGUUUUCUAAUCCAUGUAUUAGUCUGGGAAGUGUGAAUAAUGCAGUUUGCUUUACGAUGCACACUGAACAAACUUUCUUUUCCAUGCAUAAUUAAAACAAGAUCCAUAGUUGUCCUUUAAAUAAUCUACCCUACUUGUGAGUGGGGGAAAUAUUUUGCCAAUUAUACACUUGAAGGGAGUGGAAUGAAAUCCUCUUACAUUUCAGGGAAAGCAUGAAAAAGAAAGUGUUCAUAGAAAAUGUCCUAGGAACUUCUUUUAUGACAAAUGCCUUGCUUUAAAUACUGUGUUUUGAUGAAAGCAUCAUCAUCCUUAGCUUGCUUUGCCAAAGAGCAUGUGCAGAAUGCUCUUCCUGCCAUCACUGGAUAAUCACAAGCGGAUCAUAAAAAUACAGAAUUACAGGGAAGACUCUCCAAGUGAAGGUAAUCAGGCUUGACACCUGACAGCAUUCAUUUCAGAAAUUUAAGCCUUGGCAACAGCUCCCUUUGUGAAGGAAUUGUGUGGGAAGGAUUACUAUUCUUGUAGCAUUUCAAGCAGAUAUUUCCACUGUUUUAUGUAUUUCCUGUCAAAGGAUGAUCUGGGGACCAUUGCCUCUGGGAUUAUAUUGCUUCCCUUGCUAGAGCAGUUGUGUUGCCAGUCAACUGUUGCCAGUUCAACAGUUUUGUUGAAUUUUUGUUUCAAAUACCUCCUAUCUGUUGAAAAAUGAACCCACAAAACAUUUGGGGGAGGAAGGCUAUAGCUCAGUGGUAGAGCACGUGCUUUGCACGUAGAAGGCCCCAUAUCUGAUACCUGGAAUCUCCGCCCUUGGCUAGAGCCUAAUGUGUGUCAGAAAGCUGCAAACAGACUGUAUGUUGCUGGAAUGACUGUAUGUAACUGCUAAGCUGUGGAGCUGCAUUGUAGUGUCAGUAAAGGAACUGGUGUUACACCAAGAUGUUGGAGGCUAUGGACUUGGUAUAAGGCAGCUUCCUACAUUCCUAACUUUCAGACAGAAAUAAUAAUCAUGAAAUUGCAAGUUGGGAGAUCGGUACCUGCAUAGAGAGCAGUGCUGGCUCCAUGUUUUGUUUGCUUGGGGCAAGAUACCUACAGAGUUCUUCCCUUUCUGAGUUCACCCACUGUCUCCUUUCCACUCUUAACCACUGCACACACCUCACUUGCUCCCUCUAGGAUCAGCAAACAACCAUCUGGGGAAAAUCAUAAGGUUACUGCUCCAUCUCCUAACUCUUGCUAUUGCUUCCUUGCUCAGAGACAGCAGGUAGAGAUAUUGGAGCAAAGAGUAGGAGAAGCUGGAAGUGGAAGCUCCAGGGGGCAGCAGUGGCCUCCCAACAGGGGCAUGGACCUUGAUAAAUUGCAAGCAAAAUGAAACUCUACAGGCUGCUGAUUAUUUAUUUCCCUGCUGUGUACAAAAAUCUGCAUAAUGUUGCCCAGACUCCAACCCAGGAAGACGCCUCUUACUUUUUAAGGAAGUUACAAACUAUAUUUAUGUUUCAAAUCCUCAUAGAAUUAUCUACUUCUUGGAAAACCUUAUGAACUGGCUCCUGGCCCACUGGGGUUCUUACUGAACAAAGCCAAAUUUUGUACACAUGGAAAAACAACUUGCACCACCUGACACUAUUUCUAUGGAAACUGAAAUAGAAGUCUCCAAAUCCAUUCAUGUGAAUGACUCUUGCUCUACAUUUUUAAUUCCCAUCUGCAAGUCAAGAAAAGGGAAGAUGUCCAUUUUAAAUAUUCAUUUAAAACAUACUAUUUGCAGCUGGAUUGACAGAUUUGGAAAUUGGAAAUCCUUUUUUAUUAUCCAAAGGGCAUGGAAUUCCCCACAGUUCUGAGUACUAAGCCGUGCUUUUUUCUGGGGCUACUCAAAGGUAUGCAACACCAGCACCUUUUUUUCUAGAAGAAAAGCGUUGAUACCAAGACAUGUAUAUAAAUGUUAACCCCAAGAGGAAAUUCCAUUUCUUUGUCUGAAGACUUCAGAUUGCUAAGCAAAACCUAUCUGCCUUCUCAGAUGAUAAUUUAUUCUGCUUUAUUAGUUUAGCAAUGCUUCCCCAAAGUUACCACAUUAUUGCUGCCUAGAGGGGCUACUGUGCAACAAAAGCAGGUCAAAAAAGCCCCAGAGCAUUUAUGGUAGGAAAAGUUACAGGAUUUCCGCAGGAAGUUACAGGCUGUGCACUGAUUGGAAAUGAAGUGAUAUGCCCACCCCAAAACCUUUGCAGAUGAAAUUAGUAUUGAAAGCAGUAUCCUGUAUGACUGCCCCAAUUGCAUUGUGAUCACAAUUCAUUAAUGAUGUGAAAUAAAAGGGAUGUAUGGAGAGGUCCUUAGUCAUUGCUAAGCAUCAUCGUUUAGGAGUCUCCUACAUUGUGGUUAAUCUGAAGUCACACUGCAUUAUGACAUAUCGGUCCUUAAAGCUGCCUAAACUUGUUGUAAGCCUCAUGAAGCAGGAUCUGGAUUACAGGCACAAUCUGAGAGAUUUGGUAAGAUUGUUAAUUCCACUGCAUUCCAUCUGAAAUUAGAGAAGAUGCACUAGAACAUUUUACGCUAUUUUUACUCUUGUUUUUAUACUUGUUUUUAAUGUUCGUUUUUCUAAGUUGCUUUGAGUUCACCUUUCUGAAUAAAACUGACCAAUUGAUGAUGAUGGAUGAUGGUGAUGUUGAUAGCCUAUGCAGUGAGUCAGAGCUGUGGGGCUCAACAUCAUUCUCACUGCAGCUUCCCUGGUUGCCAGGGGGAAGGGUGAUAUUAAGGUUAAGACUGCAUGGACACCCCAGUGAAGCCAAUCAUGUCUCCUGGUGUGCCACAUGCCACUAUAACCUUGUCACCAUCCUGCCCCACCCCAUCCAAGAAAGUGGCUGUAUGGUUUUGCAACACCACAAUGGCUGCUACCGGGAAGACGAAUGGCCCAAGUUCAUGCUUACGCCUUCAUCCUGUUAUAAAUGAUACAUGGAUACUAGGAAAAACAUAUUUCCAUUUGACCUCAACAGAUAUGACAGAUGUGGCCAGUCAGUUUUUGGUGAGCUGUUGUUUGCCAGGGGCCCUUCCCACACCUGCUCAAGUUGGGUAGUAUUAAGAGGUAACUUGGGAUAGGGUCCCUUCACCUCACUAGGGAGACCUCUGAGGUGAUGUCCGAGGCCUUGUGAAGACUCCAAGUAGACUUCCAGUAGAAGUCAGAAGUUCUGUUGGAGGUUUUGUGAGGCCUUGGAUGGGACCUCAGAGGCCCCAUGAGGCCAUGGAAGCUAUGUCCAAGGCCCUGUCAGGCCUCUAACUUCUGGUAGAAACUGGAAGUCGUGUUGAAGGUCUCAUGAGGCCUCAGACAUGACCUCCAAGGCUCUUCAAGGCCUCGGAAGUACCACUGCGGCAUGCCAAUGUAACGUGAUGCAAGUGCUACUGGCCACCCAUAAUCUGGGACCCAAAUCGGUGUCCCUGCUUCACCUACUAAGUGCUUACCUGUGAAGCCUGGUUUACAAGUGUGCAUCAUCUGCAGUUGUGACCAAGAGAAAAAAACAGCCAAUUAUAUCAUCCAAACAGUACGAAGUAGUGAAUAAUAUGCUGAUCAUGUCCCAUGGAAAAUCAGAAGGGUCAUCAGUUUUUCACUGGUCUGGUCAUCAUGGAGAAUGACACUCUGAUUGUACAGUUGCAAUCGAAAAUAUUCAUCCACCAUUGCAAAUCAGGUAUCUUACCAAAAUUUACAGACUUUCAGCUGUUUGCAAUGAGCAAAUCAAACAAACACGAUGGAAAUAGCUCGACCCAAUUUGCAACGGGGGUUGAAUAAUUUUGAUUGCAACUGUACAUAUUUUCUUUAUAGUUCUCAUAUUCUGGAUUGUGAUGUCUCCCUCUGUAAUCUAAGGUAAACUUUGGUUGAUACUCCUGCAUAUUUUCAUAUUUAUUUUUCUGCCACCAUGAGGACUAGAAUGUUAUUUUAAAAGUAACAAUGUUGUGACACUCUGGAAACUACUAAAUUAUAUAGUGGGGAGCACAUUCUGUGAUUUUCUGGGCAAUGGCCAUUAUUUAUCUAGCUCCCCUGCCUACAUUCCAUACUUGUGACUUUCAAGCUAAAAUAACCUUAUGCACAAAUCAUGAUCUUACAGUAUUUUUCAUUGGCAGCAGGCGGAGGUGGGAGAAACAUUUUAGUUUUCUUAUUUUUAUAUCUGUGUCUUCUGCCUGCUAAUUUCAAAGACAAAAGGCUAAGAGACAAAUGAAUAGCAUGUAGCACACCAUCAAUUCAAGUCUUUCUCAGAAACAAAACAACAAAAGUCUAAAUCAAGUGUCAACUUGUUCCACUGAUACUCGAGUAUUUAUAACUGGAGAACAAUUUGGUUGGAGAAUGAUGGAGGUGAACAGAAAUUUAAAAACAACCAAGACCUUAUCUGGUGGUCCCUGAAAUUAUCUCUUGAAUAAUGUGGUGUCGGGGCUUAUCUCAGACGAACACCUUUAUCCAAAAAGAACAUUAAAGUCAAUCCUUAACUGUAUUUUUCUUUUCUUUUUUGCAUUUGUGCAUCCUGCUCUAAUAUGAAGACAGUAACUUGGUGUAUUUAUAAUGUAGUUUUAGAUUAUGCUAUCAUUAAUAUCUGUCUCUUCUUUUUAUUGGGGGAAAUACCACUGAUAAUUUUUGCUGGUUUCUGUCCAAACUGCUACCCUUCAGAGGCUUGCCAUUAACAACCACUGGUUAAUUGCUCUAGAAAUAAUAGACCUAUCAAGUUGGAGGGGAUCUUGAGGCUCAUCUAUUUCAAUCCCCCUGCUCAAUGAAGACUCUUCAAUUCAGGAUUCAACAACUUCAUCCUUGGCAGAAGGCCACCCAUCCUCUGCUCAAACUAGGUCUUCAUUCUAAUCAUCUCUGUAACAAAUGAAUUUGAUUGUUCUGCUAAACGUUUGAGUGUAAGCCAUAUGAUUUGCUUUUCCCAAUGUAGGUCUUUAUUUACCCCCUUGUUCCUGAUAUAGUUAUUCACUCACCCCUUCUUCCCUGGCGGGAUGUACAUCAUAUGUACCUCAGAUAGAAUGUAGUUGAUUAAGGGAGCUGUGGACUCAACUUUUCUAAGUCAGCUACCCUGGCCUCAAGCAGAGAUGGGAGGACCUGCCAAUUUCAGUUCUCUUGGUUUCUCAUUUUUCCAGUCUUCAAUUCAGUUCCCCACAUUUCUGCAGCAACUUGUGAUUAUUAUUUUAAAAAAAAUAAAAGAUCCUCAUGAAAAUUCCACAUUUCUUCCAAAAACACUUUUAAUGCAGUUUUGACUAAUGUACACACUUUUGCAUGCACUUUCCCCAAUAUAAUGCAUUUUUGUACAUUUUUCAUUAGCGUAUUAUUUUUUAUGCACACUUUCUCUUAAUAUAGGCAUUUUUGUAAACGUUGGUUGGAGAACUGUACCUUGUGGAUUAGUGUGAAUAUCAAAGGAUGACUGUGUUUGGGUUUUCUUGAUGUUUCAGUAAGUGCAGAUUUGAUGUAUUCACCUUUGAAUCCCUUCUGGGUUUUUAUUUUCUAUUUUUUUAAAAAUAAAAUUAACUGUAUAAUCAGGAAAAAAAAUACUUAAUUCAACUGAUUUUAUCUCUAUGGUAAAUUUUUGGGUAACCUCAUGGUGCAUCACUUAGAAACUAUAAAGUUCAGUGGUCAAUAAACUGAAAUGUGAUUGAAAUGAAUAAUGAAUAAUAAAUAAAAUAAAAAAAUUCCUUCCAGUAGCACCUUAGAGACCAACUAAGUUUGUUAUUGGUAUGAGCUUGCGUGUGCAUGCACGCUUCUUCAGAAAGCUCAUAACAAACUUAGCUGGUCUCUAAGGUGCUACUGGAAGGAAUUUUUUUAUUUUGUUUCCACUACGGCAGUCCAACACGGCUACCUACCUGUAACUAGAAUAAUAAAUAAGUAUUUUAUGGGUUUGUUCAGAGGUUUUCAAUCUUUGUGAGUCCACAGCUCCCUUGACCAAGUACAUUCUACCCCUGUGGGGCUCAGAAGCCCAGUUAUAUUACCUUUUGCCUGCAGAGCUGGCAGCCUCUCACCCUUUUCCCAACACCCUCCCCUGUGGAGUGUUCCCUCAGCCUCCUCUCCUCUCCCCUCUCCUUGGGAGUCCUCUGGGCAGCCACUGCUGCCAUUCCUGGUCCUUGAGCUGCCCCCCCCCACCCCAAAGAGAGGUGCCUCCCAGAGGCACCAUUCGCCUGCAAAACCUAUAGCCAGGGCUGCUGCAAUAAACAGCUGUGCAAGCCUUUGGAAGGCAGAGAUGUGAGAGGGCAUCUAAGGAGGGAGGAAAGGAAAGAGGUUUAGAGGCCAGUGUUGCCCGCGACAUGCCUGACCAUCAUUCAAGGCACCCCAGGGUGCCAUGGCACACUGCUUGAAAACCAUUGGGUUUGUUUAUUUGGAAAUCAGUGAUUUAAUAUCAAAAGAUGAGAGUCCUAGUUCUGUUGUCAAACUCAUACUGAGGCCUAACUUGUCCAGUUAAUAGGUCUGACCCUUUGCCCGUGGGACUGAGUUGUUUUGUCAUCUGGGGCUGCCCAUAUACUCACAAAUGGAAAAGGGGGACAGGAACAAUGCCAGAUAGAGCUAGAAAUGUGUUUUCCCCCUUUAUUUUUAAAUUAUUAAGCUGACUUCAUAAUCAAUUUAAGGAGAGUAACCGAAGCCUCCUUCUGCCUCUGGGUUUGAAUUGCUCUACCUUGCAUAUGAUAGUUCUUGUCAUGUAAACGCCUGCCUGCAGGGUCAUUGUGGCAUUAAAGAAAUACACGCUCACCAGUGUAAUUACAACUGUUGUCCUUUGGGGUGUUUUUGCUGCCAGUGCUGUUGUUACAAGAGCAGCCAAGGGAACUGAAAUUGAGCUUCCUGGGAAGACUAAGAAUCCCUUGAGAAGAACUUGAUUGCCCAGAGAACCUUUUGUUUAUUCAUUUCAGAAUGUAUAAAGCACUCUGCAUUCAGAGAAAACUCAAGCAGGAAACAUAAAAUCAAUAAUAAAAUAGUGUUCAAAAGUAAAAAUCAAAAACAAAAAACAAGAAGAAUUCAAAUCUGCAGACUUAAAAUAGACGACUGUUUUGGAAACUGUGAAAUAGCUAGGUUUACCUUUUAAUCUAAGUUUAGGGCUUAUUCGCACUUUUGCUUGUCCCACUACUUUCCCUCAGAGAAAUCCACUCUUUGCUGCUGAAUCAGAGCAAACAUCAAUCGAGUUUUCCGUAGGCUGACGUUUGCGCUGAUUUAGCAGUAAAGAGUGGGUUUUCCCAGAGAAAGCAGCAGGGCAAAUGGAAAACUGCUCAGACCAAUGCCUAGAAAGUACAGGAGAAGCGGAAAAUUACUCGGACUUGUACUCUCUGGGCAUAGGACAAGUGGAAGUGUGAACAAGCCCUUAAUCAAAGAUCUCCCCCAUCCAUAGCUCCAACUUUCCAGAGUGAUAGGCAUGCUAACCCACAAAACUUCUUUUAUUUAUAUUUUUAUUAACUUUUCACAUAGCCCAUCUUAAGUGCAUCACAAGUUAUCAUUUUUGUUCUUCUUUGACUUCCCAUAUUGCUUGAUAAGAAGUUGUAGCACUAAUUAUUAUUAUUAUUAUUAUUAUUAUUAUUAUUAUUAUUUAUACCCCUACCGUCUGGCUGGGUUUCCACAGCCACUCAGGGCAGCUUACAGUAUAUAUAACAUAACAUAAAAAAAUUCCUGAUACAGGGCUGCCUUCAGAUGUCUUCUAUAAGUCAGAUAGUUGUUUAUUUCCUUGAUGGGAGGGCGUUCUACAGAUCAGAUGCCACUACCAAGAAGGCCCUCUGCCUGGUUUACUGUAACCUCACUUCUCACAGUGAGGGAAGUGCCUGAAGGCCCUCAGAGCAGGACAUCUUUACUGCCUGUUUGUUUCUAAUCUAACCCACAAAACUUGUGCCAUACUAAACUUGCUAGUUUCUGAGGUUCUGCAAUAUACCGUAUUUUUCGCUCUAUAGGAUGCACCAGACCAUAGGACGCACCUUGUUUUAGAGGGGGAGAACAAACAAAAAAAUUCUCCCCCUCUCUGCUCAGCGCCCCUUCAGCGAGGCGGCAGGAGAAACGGAGCCCCUUCCAUUUCUCCUCCCACUUGGCUGAAGGGGCGCUGCGCAGCUCUCCCUCUCUGCUGAAGCCAGGAGAGUCUUGCUCUCCUGGCUUCAGCAAAAGGAACCUGAAGCCUGCGGCAGGAACUUGCGCUUUGCUCUGCAGGCUUCAGGCGGCUAUCCCUGAAACCUCCAGAGCGCGGAGGGAACGCUCCCUCUGUGUUUCGGAGGCUUUGCAUUGCUAUCGCUGAAGCCAAGGAGCCUGCAUUCGUUCUAUAGGAUGCACACACAUUUCCCCUUAAUUUUUGGAGGGGAAAAAGUGUGUCUUAUAGAGUGAAAAAUACGGUACUUUCUUAUUACUGCUUAAGGGAAAGAAAAAGGAAAUUUAAAGAAAACUGAAGGAAUUUGAAAGAAUUUGAAGGCGCUAAGAAAUGUUUUAGAAAGAAUACCAAAAAAAAAAAAACCCACCCAGUAUUUUUUCCCCAUAGAGGUUCCACUAAUUAUACCUCUGCUCAAAAGCAUGUUCCAUUGUGCUCAGGAACUGCCUAUUUGCAGCACUGGAUUUAGGUUUGUGCAGGCGGUUCUCUUGCAAAGGGCGCUGAGCCAAGAGGGGCCCCUGAGAUCUACCUACAGACAGGGCAUCCUUGCUGUUGAUCCAGGUACAGCUCCACUUGCUUCUUUAUCCUCCUCCUUCCCUCUCUCCAGAUGCCACUGCUGCAGUCAGGAGACUCACUUUUGAAGACCAGACACAGAGGGCAGUCGGGGGAGCUCCUGAUCCCAGGGGCACUUCCAGAGAUGAGGGGGCAAUAAAGGAGGCAAGCACAGCCCCCCCGAAAGAGCUGCAGGGCAUGGUCAGGAGGGACUCUCCUGAUGCCAGCUCAUGCAGCCUGGGCUUGUCAGGGCUGGAGGGGCCCAUCAAUGUCUCCUUGUGCACCCUGGAUAUGUAGGGGCUGGACAGGGCGGGUGGCUCUCCUCCUGCUCCUCCUCUUCCCCACUGCUCAUAGCUGUCAACACUUCCUGUUUUUAAAGGGAAAUUCCCUUAUUCCAAAUAGAAUUCCUCACAAGAAAAGGGAAAAGCUGACAGCUAUGCCACUGCUCCAGCAGCACCUCCAAGCAGACCACGUUUCUCCUCCUGCAGGGUCUACUGGAAACACCUGCAGCAGGGGGCACCAAAUUUUAUCCUUGCUCAGUGUGCCCUAUUACCAAAGUCUGCCCCUGUUGUUUGCUCACUGCUCAAAUAAAACUGCAGUUCUUCCACAUUUCCUUUAUCCUUCCUGCAUCUUCUCAGACACUAUGAUGCCCAUACAGGACCAUGUAAUCAGAUCAUAACCUCAACUCUGACAUCAGUUCCUUAGCUCUUCCUCGUGUCUAACUAGAGCUUGAAUACUAUUGAGUUUUUGAGAACCAAUUCAUGUAGCCAUUAUAGAAGUAUUACAGUAUGCAGAACAACCUGUGUCAGCUCUCUCCUGGGACAAGCUGGUUAGGUGCGUCUGUUGCCCCAAUGUAUGACUGAAAUUUUGGCACAUGGCUUUGUGUGUGUGUGUGUGUGUGUGUGUGUGUGUGUGUGUGUGCAUGACCUGCAUUGAAAGUUGAAUCCAGAACAAUGCAGAGAAUGUCUAUGGAAUGGGAGAAAGCACAUUUUAGAUUUCCAAUGUUUCAAAGCCUCCUUCCAUGCUCUUGUGUUGAACAUCAUUAGAUGUUUAUUUUUUAUGUAACACCUAUCAGAUACUUAAGUCCUUUUAACUUUCAUUUACUAUUUUCUUCUUUGAUUGAUGAGAUGCCAUUUUACAUCAUUUUAUUCUUGGUCUGCAAGUUGUAUUUCAGUUAAGGAGUAGGGCAUGCUUGUGAUUGUGGAGGAGUCUCUGUAGGACAAUUAUGAAACAUCAUAAUAGUCCUAGAUAACUGGAAAGCUGUCCUAUAAAUGUCACAGAUAACUCACAGCAUGAGGUGAACUGACAAAAGGAGCUUUCAAAAUCUGGCAAUAUAAUUAAUGACCUUGCAUGCUUUCACAACAACAGCAAGAGAAAAACACUUGGGAGUAGAAAUUCCUAAAAAUCUAAUCUUUAAACUCUUUGCUGCCCAUCCUUACAGAUUGGCAGCAAUGAGUUCAAAGAUUAGAUUCAUUGGCUGUGAUUGCUUGCAUCCUAUUCCCGUCUCCAAUCCUCAAACACUUACUUGUUGUAAUGGCCUUCUAAGGGUUGUGGCCAGUUUUUCAUAUUCAGAGUAGAUCUAUUGAAAUUAAUAUAUAUGAAGAAGAGAAGAAGAGUUUGGAUUUGAUAUCCCGCUUUAUCACUACCCUAGUGAACCUAAGAAGUCUCAAAGCGGCUAACAUUCUCCUUUCCCUUCUUCCCCCACAACAAACACUCUGUGAGGUGAGUGGGGCUGAGAGACUUCAGAGAAGUGUGACUAGCCCAAGGUCACCCAGCAGCUGCAUAUGGAGGAGCGGGGAAGCGAACCCGGUUCACUAGAUUACGAGUCUACCGCUCUUAAUCACUACACCACACUGGCUCUUUAAAUAGAUGACUAAUUUAAAUGAGUCAACUCUAAGUAGAAUUUAGUUGGAUACAGUCCUAUGUUCUUAGAGGCUGGGCUGGUACACAUACUUGAAACCAACAAGUUAAAAUACCCAAUGCUAUAAUAAUGAAAAAUGGAAUAGCUGUUAAUGUCCAUUAAGCCCAUACCUCUUAGCAGUGCUGCAAGGGGUGGGGAACAGGAUCUGACCAGCAGGUUGAAUCCUGACCUCCCCCACCCUCCAUUUUGACAGAUAGGUGAGGCCUCCCCUCUGCCUGUCACAUAUCACAGUGAUAUCAGAGGUGCCAAACUAAAAGAAAGUCCUUCGUGGGCAUGGCUUACACCUUGAGCUGUGACUGCAGAGGAUUAUCCUAUGAAGCAAAUAAAUAUUUGUGCUUAAAUCAAGCCCAUGAAUACUUGGGCAAGUAUUAACAGGUUUGUUGUUUUGUUGUUUAGUCAUUUAGUCGUGUCCGACUCUUCAUGGCCCCAUGGACCAGAGCACGCCAUAAUAGGUUAGUUGAUGCAAUUCAUUGAUUGUGAUUAAGAGAAGGCCUUUUGUUACUUGGUGGAGAUUGGCAGUGCACUUGGGGCCUGUUGGGUAAGUAAGAAUAAUCAUCUCUAUUUCAUUUUCAGGUUUUCAUUCUACUUUUAAUUUGUAUACCACCUUUAUAUAUUGCUAUACACAAGGCUGUUUAUAGCAACGAAAUAUACAGCAAAUAACACAUACCUUAUAAUAAUCUGAUCCAAUACAAAAAGUCAUAAUAAACAUAAUAAACAUAAUAAACAUAAUAAACAUAAUAAACAUAAUAAUAAUAAUAAUAAUAAUAAUAAUAAUAAUAAAAAUUUAUUUAUAUCCCGCCCUCCCCAGCCGAAGCCGGGCUCAGGGCAGCUAACAACACUAAAAUAGUGCAACAUUCUAAAAACAUUAUAAAAAUUAAUUAACAUCAAAAUUGAUGGCAACCAUAAACUAAAGUUCUGUAAAGGUUGCCAAAGGAGGGAGUCAGGCUGUGCCCUGACCAAAGGCCUGGUGGAACAGCUCUGUCUUGCAGGCCCUGCGGAAAGAUGUCAAGUCCUGCAGGGCCCUAGUCUCUUGUGACAGAGCGUUCCACCAGGUUGGAGCCGCAGCCGAAAAAGCCCUGGCUUUUAACUUUAAAAUAUGGGACUUUAAAAUGGGACGAUUCAUAUCAAAUAAAGUAAUAUACAACAAUCGAUUAGAGAAUAAUAUUAGACAAUAAAAUUAACUCUCAAAACAUCAGCAAAUAAUAAUUAAACUGAAAUUAACAACUACAACAAUUAACUACUAAACUAUGAUCAAUAAAAAUAAGUCACAAUGCAUAAAAUACAUACCAUAUAAAAGGAUCAAACUGAGAAACAAAGACACACAGUUUAUAAAACUAUCUCUCCCCCCCCCCCCGCCUCCUUUCUUCCCUGCUGAUUUUGCUGUUCUUGAAGUCAUGGCCUGGGAGAGGCUAGUUAACUCAGCUGGACUACUUAACCCCAGUGGACUCCCACUGCCAGUACCAGCCUCCACAACAUAAGCAAAUCCAGACUUGAGGGUACUUCUGUCCCUAUCCAGUCUCACCAGUAUAGCAGUUGUACUUUUUGACACCAGGAUUAUUAAGCUCAGCACUUUGUCCAAUGAUUUUGCUAUAAAUCUUGCAUUUUAAAGGGUCUGAACUCCAUAGCCUAAGGAUUACUGUAACACCAUGGAAGGUUUGUAUCUCCAGAUGCCAUAAAACUUUGUUAUCUAGCAACUUGGAUCCCGUCAGUAAGAGACUGGGGGAAUUAACGAUGUAACACUAUGACAUGAAGACAGCAAGUUUUAUAUGAAGAUUAACUUUUCUAGAAGUCAACUGCACAAAGGUGGAAAAGAAUAAUGAAAGGUACUGAGAAGAGUUGUAAUGACCCGAUUCAAGUUUCAGUUUCAGGCUAGAAGCAUGUGUAUGUACUUUGGCAAAAGAUUACGGAGGCUUUGCUUGGCUUAAAUUUGAUGGGACGAUUUAUGUUUGUGGGGGCUGAUUAGACUGCCAUGAUCUCAGGGCUGAAAAGUGUUCAAGGACAGAAACAAAUUGCCUUUCUCAAUUCCCAUAGCUUGGUGGUGACUGCAACCCAGACAAAAAAGAAAAACAGCAAAAACGUGCAAGUAAUUCUUCCAUUUGUUUCUAAAAUUGCAUUUGCCCAUAGUUGUUGUGACAACAUGGAAUCCAGUUUAAUUUUUGUAAUAGGUUCAAGUUUUAAAAGAAGGUUCUGAUUCUGUGGUUUUGUGUUAUCCACAGUUUCCAGUGUAAACUCCUGAGCCUUCUAACCAGGUUUGUAGCCCAGGAUAAAUGAGAAAAAGAAUUCUGAAGUCCUGACACAAACUCCUGAUUCAGGUUCUACCUCUUGAAUCUAAGCUCUGAGCCUUGGGAGAAUGAGUGGUCAAGGACAAUGGGAGUUGUAGUCUCAGAUGGCACCAGGUUGGGGAACACUGGUCCAGGUAUGAGAGAAGGGAAAAUGAAUCUGCAGAAUACACACACACACACACACACACACACAGAAAACAUUCCUCCCCCCUUAAAUCUUUGGUAUCUGGGAGUUAAGUACCAUUGGGGGAAGUCAUGUGCUUUAAGUGUAUGCUUCGUAUGCAGCCCCAGUCUGAAUCCUGAAAUGAAUCAUACAACCAGACCUAAAAUCUAAUUUAAACAGCUUUAAAUAUACCUAUACAUAGAUUUGAAUUGUUUCCCUCAUGUGCCAAGUUUAGCAUUUUGUGUUGCUGCUAUAGUUCACAUUAUAUAUACACAUGUGAGCCCCCACACACUCAACAGAUAAGCAAAGCUGUAGCACCUCUUUCAUGUCAUCCUGAAUACAACAUCUUGAUAAGAAUGCAAAAUGUGUCACCUUCUGCCAAAAGCAGCUUGGUAUUGUUUUCUCUUGUGAGAGUCAAACCUUUUCAUUUGAUAGAAUUACUUUCCAGACAUUCAAACUGAUUUAAUUAUCACAGACAAUAGAAACGGCACUGAAAUAAGAUUACUUGAGGAAAAAAUCAGAUCAAGAUAUAAAUUGUAUGUUUUCUCCCCCCCCCCCCCCAUUUCUACCUUCACUUUGGAGCAAUCAGCAUUUCUUAGUCUGUGAGAAGCAACCCGAGUCACUUUCCUUUUGUUUCAUUUUUGUUGGACAAGACCCUGAUGAGAUGGACAAGACCCCACCUGCUUUCCAGUAGAUGGUUCAGUUUUUCAGCAUAAGCUGAAAAUUUAAGAUAAUUGUAGUCUACAAAUAGGCAUUGAUUUGUUGGAACAUACAAAGAGGGGAAAUUAAUGCCUGUACGUGUGUGUGUGUGUGUGUGUGUGUGUGUGUGUGUGUGUGUUACCACAACAGUUUGGGUUGCUUCCAGUUAAGUUACUAAUGUCCAUUAACUUUAAUGGGUCUACUUUUAGUAGAACUAGCACUUGAUACAACCCAUUUUUUCAAUGCAGGCGUUCAGCUUGCAUGUCCAGUGAAUGGUCAUGGGGGUGGCACCUGACUCUGUCCCUCGUGCUACAUCCCUUUAUGGAUGCUUGAAUGGGCCUUCCAGGUGUACAGACAAAGGACUCUGUUGUCAUGAUUGAGGUAGGGAUGGCAGAAUCUGUCAAUUUCAGUUUCUCAUUUUCCACCAUCUUAAAUUCAGUUCUCUAUAUCAAUUUGCAUUUUUAAAAGUUCUCAUGAAAAUUAUUCAGCAUUUUAGUGUUUUUCCUACAAUACAUAUCUUUGUGUGCAACUUUUCCUAACAUACACAUUUUCGCAAAGCAAUUUUGCCUAACAGUGCAUUUUUUUGCAUUUUAUUUGCACCAUUAUAUGCAUUUUUAUGUACACUUUACCCUACUAUAAACAUUUCAAAAUAUUAUUAUUGCUUGGCUGGAGAACUGCAUUGCAAACAUCAGAAAAGUUCAUGGAAAGUAAGAAUUAGAGGGGGACUUCCAGAGAGGAAAUGACAGACUAGGAUAUCAACUGCUGGCACUCCCAUCUGCAGAGAUAAUUAUAUGGUGAUUAAUAUAAUCAAGAUCAUCAGAGUUUCAACAACUGCUAUCCUUCAAAAUCUGAUCAAGGGACCACUUGUUAAUGGUUUGCUCAUACAUCUUCAUCAUGAUACCAUUAGGUGGUGACUUGAGUGUGUUACUCACUGAACCAGAUAGAAGUUCACAAAACUUAGUAAGUCAGAAGUGGUGCUUUAUAUUGAAUUAGCCUUCACACAUUUUCAAGUGCAGAGUGCUCAAGAGUAGAGAAACCCAGAAGAUACAUUGAUGGGUGGACUGGGCCUUUGAUCAAUUCUCUUUCUUGGGGACUCACAAUUUGCCAUCCACAGAACUUAGUCUAACCCUCUGGCUUUGGAAUAUUCUCUCAGACAUGAACCUGGUUCCAGUUCACUUUACCAUCUGUAGACUUUCUUCUUCUGUGAAGUCUCUGGGUAAUGAGAUCUUUGACUUAGGGAAUGUAGUUCUUGUUUUGAUGAGAGAGCAUAGCUAAACUAUGAAAUUUGUUCCCACAAGCAGUGAUGGUCACCAACUUGGAUGACUUUAGAAGGAGAUUAGACAAAUUCAGAGAAGGUAAGGGCAAUCAAUGGCUACCUCCACUGUUGGAAGCAGAAUGUGUCUGAAUGCCAGUUGCUUGGAAUCACAAGUGGAUAAAAUGCUCUUGCAUCUGGUUGGCCACUAUAAGGACAGAAUGCUGGACUAGAUAGGCCAUUGUCCUGAUCCAGAAGACUUUUCUUAUGAGAGUACUCAAUUGUUUAUUAUAUUGUGAAUUUGUUGUGUUUUAAAAUAUUGCUAUUUGCCCCAUAGUAUUCUGAAAAAGGGCAGAAUACUAUUAAUUUAAAUAAAUGAUUUAAAACAAAACAAAACAAAACAUGGGGGUAGGUCAGUGAGUGAGAUCCAAAUAUGCAGAAAUACAUGUUCAUUCAUUGGAACCUGUUAGCUGAACAGUUCUUGGGAAACCUCAUUUGCCCAAGUUUCUCAGAUGUGCAUUCACCCAUACUUUGUUCCAGACAUUAUAUGUCAGUUGUACUGCCACACACAUAAAUUAAUUAUGUGCUUCCUGAAUUAUUUCCUCAGGCAUGGGAGGUCUCUUUCAAAAUACAUUCAGAUAUUUCCAUUGAAAAUAAUUGCUGUUUUGCCACAAUUGUGACUUGUAAGGCUUCUUAAAUAUUGGUACCUGUUACUUCCUCUUGAAGAGCUUUAUUGCUUGCAAAAUCCUGCUCACUUUCAAGAUUCAGAUGCUGACUUCUAGAAGGGUAGAGCUGAGCUGACUCUCUUGCCCAGGAAAUGUUUAUGGGUUGUUUUUGUUCCAACAGCCAAUGGUUCUACAUAUUCUUCUAGCUAGAGUGUCUGGAAAUGAACACAGGAUGUCCCCAUAGCACAAAUUGUCAUGAGUUACUUCUUCACUCAGCCUUGAAAUACUUUUGGAAACAAAAAUAGAAGCCCAUUUAUACCACAUGACUGCAAGGUGGAAGGGAAGCAUACUAUUUUAUGCUGUCUCAGUUGCUGAGAUGUUAACUUAGUGGUAGAGCAGUGGUUCUCAACCUGUGGGUCCCCAGAUGUUUCAUGUUUGAUCCUCAGCAUCUCCAGGUAUGGCUGGACAAACUCCUGCCUGAAACCCUGGAGAGCUUCUGUCAGUCAGAAGCUAGAUGAACCAUUGGUCUGACUAAGUAUAAGGCAGCUUCCUAUCUCCCAUGUGUACCUGUUUGUCCUUUAUUAUAACAGGUGUUACAGUAACAAAAGAAUAUUCCAGGAGAUCAGACAUGAGAAAAGGCCUUUAUACAAAUUUACUUCAAAACAUGAUGUUUACAUAAUAACAAGAUAUGCCCCAAGAGCAUAGAACAUAUAGAAAAACCACAUACAAUAGAUUUUUCAGAAGCUUACUGAAAAUUCUAAGGAGCUUAUUGUUUCCUUAAAAGUAUUACCCAAUAUUUCUGAGCUGUUACCAUGGAGAAGAGGAGAAACUAGGAGAUUUCCUGACUGUCAGGGAGUUCUCCUGUUAGGAGUGAUCCAACCCUCAGGUGGUUGUUGCAUAGCUGUCAACUUACAGAUUUGAAAAUAAGGGACCAGCAGCCAAAAUAAGGGACCUGCAGCCUCACCUGUUCCAGGCACUCCAGUCUUCCUGUCCUCCUGCAGUCUGGUCAAACUCAUGCUGGUAGCUUCGAGAACACUGUCCAACAAACUUUGUAACCAGAGGUUCAACUGAAUAGAAUCUGAAUCACAUGCACCACAAGGCCUAUGCAGCCUCAACUUAAGAUGGCUCCCCAGCCUGGCUUUGCACUGCAAAGUUUGCAGCAGCACGUGCAACAAAAUGGCAUCCAGCAUUCAAAAACCUCCUCAGCUUGCAUUAACUAGCCACACACAAGGCAUGCAAGCUCCACCCCCCAGUCGUUCUUAGACUUCUUAUUGGUUGAGCAACAUAGCCAAGCAACACAGUUGGAGCCUCCCUCCUCCCUGGCCGGCAGGGAGGGAGGGAGAGGAGCUGCUUCCUUUGAAAUUUAAGGGAUAUCAUUUAAGGGACAUUUAAGUGACAUCCAUCAAUAAGGGACAGCAGCGGGACAUGGCGCUGGAAUAAGGGACUGUCCCUUCAAAUAAGGGACACUUGACAGCUAUGGGUUGUUUCUUUUGCUGUUGUUGUUUUAAAGAGAUUUCCCAAUUGCACAAAUUCUUAUCAGACAAAUGAGUGCAAAGCAUGCUUUGCUCCUUGCUUACAAUUAGGAGCAUUUUCUCCAUACAGGUUAGUAGUUCUUAUCUGCUAUGCAGUAACUGAGAGGACAAUCCAGUGGCCUUUGCACUUAUUUAAAUACCAACUUAGAAAAUAUUAUUACUGCCUCUCAAACCCAAGGCUUCUCCAGUUUGCACAAAGGUUGCCUGUUAAGCACAACUCAGCUGGUGGCUUAAACUGGCCCAUUUUUAAAAUUAUUAUUAUUGAACAAAUUAUCAAUACGGUUAAUCUUUUUUUUAAAAUAAUUUUAUUUAUUUAUUUAUUUAUACAUACAACAAGAAAAAAACACACACAAAAAAAUACAAAUACCAAAUUACACACAAAUUACAAAAAUAACCAUAGACACAUAAUUUUCUUGGCGAACAAUAAAACAUCUAUUGGUCUUAACACUAAAGACCCAACUUCCCGUCUAUUCCAUAUUUCAAAUUCAUAUUACGUAUUGCCAAUAUACAUUUUUUUCAUAAUUAAACUUAUUCUCAAUAAAUCUAAUUUCUUCUAUCUACCUAGCAACUAUCACUGAAGUUCCUUGAAUGCUGCAACAGAAUUUAAACUACUAUAUUUAUUUUUCAGAUAGUCUUUGAAAACCUCCCAUUUAGAAACAAAUUCCUGUUUUGAUUUAUUCUUUAUUUUUUCUGAUAAACCAUCUAAUUCGGCAUAUUCUCUCAGUUUUUGGAUCCAAUCUUGUAUAGAGGGGAUUUCAUUACUCUUCCAUUUUGCUGUGAUCAAAACUCUUGCUGCCGCCUUCGCAUAUAAAAAGAUACCCUUCCUCUUUUGUGGAAUAUCCAGAUCUGUUAUUCCCAGGAGGUAGGCCUCUGGUUUUUUAUUGAAAGAGAUCUUUAGCAUUUUUUGCAGUUCUGCAUGUAUACUCUCCCAGAAUACCUGUAUUUUCCUACAUAUCCACCACAUAUGGUAGAAUGUUCCUGAGUCUCCGCAUCUCCAACAAUUACUUGACACAUUUUUAUACAUUUUUGAAAGUUUCCAUGCUUUUAGAUACCAUCGAUGUUGCAUUUUUUGAAAGUUCUCUCUAAUUGUGUAACAGUUUGUGAAUUUCCAAUUGAUCUUCCAUAAAUUUUCCCAUUGGGCCAUGGUUAUUGGAUGGCCAAAAUCCUGGGACCACCUCACCAUUGCCACUGUUACCUCCUCCUCCUUGACUGUCCAGUCAAGGAGAAGUCGGUAAGUUUUGGAAAGAGUUUUUCUUUUAGAGUUUACAAGAUCAGAUUUGAAUCGGGAAAUUUCUGCUGAGAACCCCUUUUGUUUGUCAGAUUUAAAUUUUUCAAAUAACUGAUGGUAUUGGAACCAGUCUGAAAUGUGUUCUCUUAUCUCCUCAAAGUUUUUAAAUUUUAUUUGGUUAUCCUCCUUUUUUCAAGUAUUUUAUAUGUUGGCCAGCUUUCCUGAGUAUUUUUCCGUUUUACUGCUAUGGCUUCUACUGGAGAAGUCCACCACGGGACUUUAGGCUCCAUCAGGUCUUUAUAUUUUUCCCAUACAGCAAAGAGUGACUUUCUUAUUAUAUGGUUGGUAAAAUUUUUAUGAAUUUUCGCUUUUCCAUAUAUUAGGUAGGCGUGCCAUCCCCAACGGUUGUCAAAACCUUCCAGGUCCAGGAGGUCCGGAUCCUGCAACGUGCACCAAUCUUUUAGCCAGGCCAUUUAAUCAAUUACAAUAUUUUCCCCCUCCCCCCAUCCCUCCACAACAGCGGCAAGAGUCUUGAUUGCACAAGGAUGGAAGAAUGAGGAAAUCCCAAUGAAAGAACAAUGGCAAGAAAAAUUGAUGAACUAUGCAGAGUUGGCUAAAUUGACAUACAAAUUGCGGGACAAGGACAACUGCAACUUUAAGAAAGAAUGGGAGCUUUUUACAAAUUAUCUAAAAAGACAACAAAAUAAACUGGAUUCCUUGGCAGGUUUUGAAUAAAUAUCCACAAAUUUAUUAGGUGAACAUAUGAUAGACAAAACAAAGAUAUGUAUAAUUUUAUAAUAUGCAGAGAAUGAUAUGUGUAAAGAAAUCAGAGAGGGGAGCUGAGGGAAGUCUUUAGUGGGAGGGAAAUUGGCCCAUUUUUAACCGGCAGUCAAUAGGGCCUGCUCUGAAGGCUUUCAGGACUGACUGCUGUCAGCUUGCAAAGGAAACAGGACAAGUCCUGACACCAUGCUAUUCUUUUUUGGGUAGUUGUAGGCUCAGAGGUGAGGGGCAUAUGUAUGGGCUAAAAAAGAAAUGAAUGUGGGAGAUUUUGCAGUCAAACACCACUGCAUGAUUGCUAGUUGGUAUUUGAAGGGGUUAAGGACCACAGAGUAGGGUCAGUGAGCUCAUGCCCCAUCACCCCCAGUGAGGGAGGAAGUGAUGUAUUUCUUCUCCUCUCUUCCUUUCCUCAUUCUCUUCCUCGUGAUUUGAGCCAUGGAGGGAGUAUGUGCCUCACUAUUGCUCCCAGCUUCAGACGUGUCUGAAGCUACAUUGCUGUAUACCUGCUAAAGAAUAUUUUGCCUGCAUUUUCUAUUCUUGCAGCAUAGGACAAUGUGUGACUGAGACCUUAAAUCCGUAAGUAAAGUAUAUAUUUAAUUUACUUCAGUGUGCAGUCUAUUCACUGCAAACAGGGGUAGAAGGAGGUCAGCUGCUACGUGCAAGUAAUGCACAAUAAAGAAAAGUUUAACAGCCUAUAUUCUACACUUCACUAAACUGCUUAACAAUGAUAUUUAAAUUCUGCUAUGGGCUGUCUCUUGUCUGAGAGUCUGUAAAACCCCACACUUUUCCUUGUUCAUGGGUCUAUAGAGGAGUAAAUAUAAUUAAUAUAUUCUCUUCCAAUUCCCAUCAAAGAAAGCAGGACCACACACACCAGUUCCU